CUCGGCGCCAUUUUGUCUGGGCAGCGGUGGCCGCAGCUCUACAGCAUUUUAUGUUUCUGGCGAGACGAGAGCGGAAUGUUCAUACCGUGGAUUCAUGUAAGUGCGGCAGCCAUCCACCGUUCCCUCCAGGACAGCACCUAGUGAAGAUCGGAAGAGUAGCGAUCUGUCAGAAAGGUCAGUUGGAAGCGGUAGUUGUCCGGUGGACUGGGGGAUGGCGCAGCUCUAGCGGCACCGGCACCGGAAGUGAGGGGGCCGCGCGGCAGCCAUAGCAGAUUGGUCUGAAGAAAGGAAGACAGUUAAGUGACAAACUUCCGGAAGUAUUACUGAGUCUUUGUCUUCUAGAGGAAGCCUCACUUUGUGGAAUAAUGAAGGAAAGUGUUCUAGUUUUUAAAUGGCUUGGAUCUGCUCUCUGUUGAAAUUGUAUUUCUGCUCCCUGGCUCUUUGUCCACCCUCAUGUUGGAAAUGGUGAGAGAACUGAUGCUGAAUCAUAAGUAUGAUCCAUUGUAGACAACUAAAUUUUUGCAUUGAAUCUUUACUAUCACUUGGUUGCUGCUCUUAAACCAGUCGGUCUACUAAAGGUUCCUUUGAGAAUGAUAGAAAUGAAAGCAAAGGGAUAGUCUUACCAGAUAAGUGCUUUUUUAUCUGAAUGUAUUCGGUUUUUCCAUAAGGUGGCUUUAGUAUCACUUAGUUGUCUUUAACUUCAUUCGAAACAAUUUUGUUAGAUUGUAUUGUGACAGUUGUCAUAUCAGCGUACAUUUUUUAAAAAAGCAUCAAAAUUGGUGAAUUUUUGUGUAGCCAUUUUAAUAUUGACGAUGAAGGGAAAAAAGCAACAACAGCAUGUUAUGCUUUAUUAUUUCAAGAAAGGUAAAAACACAACUGAAAGGCAAAAAACGAUUGGUGCAGUGUAUGGAAAAGGUGCCGUGACUGAACACGUCAAAAGUGGUUUGCAAAGUUUUGUGGUAGAGAUUUCUGGCUGGACAGUGCUCCAUGGUCGGGGAGACCAGUUCAAGUUGAUAGCAAUCAAAUCGAGACGUAAAUUUUAGUUCAAGUUGAUAGCAAUCAAAUUGAGACGUAAAUUUCAGAACAAUCAACGUUAUACCACUCAGGCCGACACAUUCAAAAUCUUCAAAUCAGGUGUUGAAAAUCAUUUGCACCAGCUUGGUUAUGUUAAUCGCUUUGAUGUUUGGGUUCCACAUCAAGCGAAAGAAACCUUCUUGACCAUAUUUCUGCACUGCGAUUCUCUACUUACACAACGAAAACAAUCCAUUUUUAAAAACAAAUUGUGAUGGGCAGUGAAAAUUGGAUAUUGUACAAUAAUGUGGAAUAGAAGAGAUGUUAUGGAAGAACCCGAACGAACUUUUUUGGCCAACCCAAUAUUAUUUGUAAUCUCUAAACCAAAACUUUAUUCUUUAAAACGUUUGUAAUUUUCUUUCCUAGGUACCUACCAGUAUCGAGGUUUACAGUAAUAAGGUAUUCAGUCUUUGCUGAAAAUAAAUUUGUAAUCUUGUCAAAGUAAAAUGUGCCAGCCAUUUUUUUCCCCCAGAGGCUAAUCUUGCCUCAGUGGUUCAGUUACGAAGUGCCCCUACAGUUGAACCAAGAUUAUUUAUUAAUCCUUUAUAUAGUAUGUAUGAAAAUCAAUUGCUUUUCUUUUCUAACAGCUGAGAAGCUUAGUUUUAGAUUUAUCUGAUAUAUGUUUUUGAGGUGGCUUAGUUGCUCAGAUUGAAGUUUCUUUAGAACCAUUGUCUGU
Non-coding RNA from Kogia breviceps (pygmy sperm whale), 1747 nucleotides. Lineage: Eukaryota; Metazoa; Chordata; Mammalia; Artiodactyla; Physeteridae. The record is from RefSeq and is a predicted model, not a curated record.